UGGAUUUUUGAUUGAACCGAUUUUUUGAUAAUUUAUGGUUUUACUAAAAUAUCCUUUCCUUAUAUUUCUCAAAUAUUUAUAGUCUUAUCUUUUUUUUUUGUAUUUUUGUUUUUUCAGUAUUGUUUGCCGCUUUUUUUUUUGACAAUUUUUUUUUCUUGAAAAAUAUAUAUUUUUUAAUUGUUUUUUUCGAAUUUUGUUAAUUUUAUAUUAAAAUAUCAUUUCUUAAAUUCCUCAACUACUUUUAAUCUUAUCCUAUUUAUUUAGUAUUUUAGUUUUUUCCCUAUUUUUUCG
This 291-nucleotide long non-coding RNA is filed under the name Salvia miltiorrhiza (redroot sage). RNAcentral describes it as "long non-coding RNA (SMIL_LNC009808)". The record is from RNAcentral. Lineage: Eukaryota; Viridiplantae; Streptophyta; Magnoliopsida; Lamiales; Lamiaceae.